CAUGCAGUCGAACGGUGAAGCCAAGCUUGCUUGGUGGAUCAGUGGCGAACGGGUGAGUAACACGUGAGCAAUCUGCCCUUGACUCUGGGAUAAGCGCUGGAAACGGCGUCUAAUACCGGAUAUUAGCUGUGAAGGCAUCUUCAGCAGCUGGAAAGAAUUUCGGUCAAGGAUGAGCUCGCGGCCUAUCAGCUUGUUGGUGAGGUAAUGGCUCACCAAGGCGUCGACGGGUAGCCGGCCUGAGAGGGUGACCGGCCACACUGGGACUGAGACACGGCCCAGACUCCUACGGGAGGCAGCAGUGGGGAAUAUUGCACAAUGGGCGCAAGCCUGAUGCAGCAACGCCGCGUGAGGGACGACGGCCUUCGGGUUGUAAACCUCUUUUAGCAGGGAAGAAGCGAAAGUGACGGUACCUGCAGAAAAAGCACCGGCUAACUACGUGCCAGCAGCCGCGGUAAUACGUAGGGUGCAAGCGUUAUCCGGAAUUAUUGGGCGUAAAGAGCUCGUAGGCGGUUUGUCACGUCUGCUGUGAAAACUGGAGGCUCAACCUCCAGCCUGCAGUGGGUACGGGCAGACUAGAGUGCGGUAGGGGAGAUUGGAAUUCCUGGUGUAGCGGUGGAAUGCGCAGAUAUCAGGAGGAACACCGAUGGCGAAGGCAGAUCUCUGGGCCGUAACUGACGCUGAGGAGCGAAAGGGUGGGGAGCAAACAGGCUUAGAUACCCUGGUAGUCCACCCCGUAAACGUUGGGAACUAGUUGUGGGGUCCAUUCCACGGAUUCCGUGACGCAGCUAACGCAUUAAGUUCCCCGCCUGGGGAGUACGGCCGCAAGGCUAAAACUCAAAGGAAUUGACGGGGACCCGCACAAGCGGCGGAGCAUGCGGAUUAAUUCGAUGCAACGCGAAGAACCUUACCAAGGCUUGACAUAUACGAGAACGGGCUAGAAAUAGUCAACUCUUUGGACACUCGUAAACAGGUGGUGCAUGGUUGUCGUCAGCUCGUGUCGUGAGAUGUUGGGUUAAGUCCCGCAACGAGCGCAACCCUCGUUCUAUGUUGCCAGCACGUAAUGGUGGGAACUCAUGGGAUACUGCCGGGGUCAACUCGGAGGAAGGUGGGGAUGACGUCAAAUCAUCAUGCCCCUUAUGUCUUGGGCUUCACGCAUGCUACAAUGGCCGGUACAAAGGGCUGCAAUACCGUAAGGUGGAGCGAAUCCCAAAAAGCCGGUCCCAGUUCGGAUUGAGGUCUGCAACUCGACCUCAUGAAGUCGGAGUCGCU
Molecule: ribosomal RNA, 1269 nt
Filed under: actinobacterium RBE2CD-53
Lineage: Bacteria; Bacillati; Actinomycetota; Actinomycetes
Description: bacterial SSU rRNA
Rfam family: Bacterial small subunit ribosomal RNA
Source: RNAcentral